CUAAUUCUUUGGUUCUUUCACUCAAGUUUGCAUGUGGUGCUGAGGACCAGGAGGGGGUAUGGUGAGUUUGCUCAGUGAAGUAAUGCUGGUUUCGUAGAAUUUGUUCAAUCCUUGGGGGGUUGCGGGUUCAAUUCUCAACAGCAGUGGCUCAACCAUUCAUUCCUUUGAGGUAGAUAAUUGAGUACCAGUACUUUAGGUAACAGUAACAAUUCACAGGAUGCACU
This is a non-coding RNA of Pelobates cultripes (western spadefoot toad), 224 nucleotides long. The record is from the annotation of a GenBank genome assembly. Lineage: Eukaryota; Metazoa; Chordata; Amphibia; Anura; Pelobatidae.